This 302-nucleotide ribosomal RNA is filed under the name uncultured bacterium. Its description in RNAcentral is "bacterial SSU rRNA". It matches the Rfam family "Bacterial small subunit ribosomal RNA", at positions 30 to 334 of the family's 1533-position model. The record is from RNAcentral.
AUUGAACGCUGGCGGCAUGCCUUACACAUGCAAGUCGAACGGUAACAGGUCUUCGGAUGCUGACGAGUGGCGAACGGGUGAGUAAUACAUCGGAACGUGCCUAGUAGUGGGGGAUAACUACUCGAAAGAGUGGCUAAUACCGCAUAAUGCCUACGGGCCAAAGAGGGGGAUCUUCGGACCUCUCGCGUCAAGAUAUGCCUAGGUGGGAUUAGCUAGUUGGUGAGGUAAUGGCUCACCAAGGCGACGAUCCCUAGCUGGUCUGAGAGGAUGAUCAGCCACACUGGAACUGAGACACGGUCCAG